AAUUCGUGAUUUGGGCACCUUCUUAGCAUUACUUUAAACCUCUUUCAGGCUUCACAAAAUGGUUCGUAUGGUCUAUGUCUAAAUAUAGAGAUAUCAGACUUGACUUU
This 107-nucleotide small nucleolar RNA is filed under the name Phaseolus vulgaris (common bean). Its description in RNAcentral is "Plant small nucleolar RNA R71". It matches the Rfam family "Plant small nucleolar RNA R71". From Rfam's summary of the family: R71 is a member of the C/D box family of snoRNAs containing the C (UGAUGA) and D (CUGA) box motifs. Multiple nearly identical copies of this snoRNA have been identified in Arabidopsis, and it is thought to function as a 2'-O-ribose methylation guide for 18S ribosomal RNA. The record is from Rfam by way of RNAcentral. Lineage: Eukaryota; Viridiplantae; Streptophyta; Magnoliopsida; Fabales; Fabaceae.